UGCGCAGGCGGGGCAAUAAGUCAGUGGUGAAAUCCUGCGGCUUAACCGUAGAACUGCCAUUGAUACUGUAGCCCUUGAGUAUAGUUGAGGUGGGCGGAAUAUGUAAUGUAGCGGUGAAAUGCAUAGAUAUUACAUAGAACACCAAUUGCGAAGGCAGCUCACUAAGCUAUCACUGACGCUGAGGCACGAAAGCGUGGGGAGCGAACAGGAUUAGAUACCCUGGUAGUCC
RNAcentral lists this ribosomal RNA (229 nucleotides) under uncultured bacterium. RNAcentral's name for it is "partial 16S ribosomal RNA". It matches the Rfam family "Bacterial small subunit ribosomal RNA", at positions 568 to 796 of the family's 1533-position model. The record is from RNAcentral.